GUCAAAAGGGAAAGAGCCCAGACCUACAGCUAAGGUCCCAAAGUACGUGUUAAGUGGAAAAGGAUGUGGGGAUUCUAAGACAACUAGGACGUUGGCUUAGAAGCAGCCAUUCAUUGAAAGAGUGCGUAAUAGCUCACUAGUCGAGAGUCCCUGCGCCGAAAAUGUCCGGGGCUGAAACACGACACCGAAGCUUAGGAAUGUGUAAACAUUGGUAGAGGAGCAUUGCUAGCGGGAUGAAGCCAUACCGUAAGGAGUGGUGGACUGCUAGGAAGAGAGAAUGCCGGAAUGAGUAGCGAGAUGAAGGUGAGAAUCCUUCAGGCCGAAUAUCUAAGGUUUCCAGAGUAAAGCUGAUCUGCUCUGGGUAAGUCGGGACCUAAGGCGAGGUCGAAAGACGUAGUCGAUGGAUAACAGGUUGAAAUUCCUGUACCGCAUAUAAACAGAACUGUGGGGACACAGACAGGGAAUGGAAUCCGGGAAUGGAUAUCCCGGUGCAAGCGAGGUAGGAGUGCUGUUGGCAAAUCCGCAGCACGAUCUGAAGACGUGACGCGUACCGAACAUAAGUAGGGAAGUCCAGGCCCCUGGCUGUCAAGAAAAGCCGCUAUUGUUUUAUAUGUGCCCGUACCGCAAACCGACACAGGUGGAUGAGGAGAGAAUCCUAAGGCCGACGGGAGAAGUAUUGUUAAGGAACUCGGCAAAAUGACUCCGUAACUUCGGGAGAAGGAGUGCCAUGAGAGUGGCCGCAGAGAAAUGGCCCAAGCAACUGUUUAGCAAAAACACAGGUCUAUGCAAAACCGCAAGGUGAAGUAUAUGGGCUGACGCCUGCCCGGUGCUGGAAGGUUAAGGGGAGAUGUCAGGAGACGAAGCAUCGAACUUAAGCCCCAGUAAACGGCGGCCGUAACUAUAACGGUCCUAAGGUAGCGAAAUUCCUUGUCGGGUAAGUUCCGACCCGCACGAAAGGCGUAAUGAUUUGGGCACUGUCUCAACGAUACACCCGGUGAAAUUGAAAUACCAGUGAAGAUGCUGGUUACCUGCGCCAGGACGGAAAGACCCCAUGGAGCUUUACUCCAGUUUGAUACUGGGAUUCGGCAUGGUAUGUACAGGAUAGGUGGGAGACUGAGAAGGUAUGACGUCAGUUGUACCGGAGUCGCUGUUGGGAUACCACCCUUACCAUGUUGGAUUUCUAACCUGUGGCCGUAAGCCGGUCAGGGGACAAUGUCAGGCGGGGAGUUUGACUGGGGCGGUCGCCUCCGAAAGGGUAUCGGAGGCGCUCAAAGGUUCCCUCAGAAUGGUUGGAAACCAUUCGAAGAGUGCAAAGGCAGAAGGGAGCUUGACUGUGACACCGACGGGUGGAGCAGGUACGAAAGUAGGACUUAGUGAUCCGGUGGUAUAAAGUGGGAUUGCCAUCGCUCAACGGAUAAAAGCUACCCUGGGGAUAACAGGCUU
Molecule: ribosomal RNA, 1443 nt
Filed under: human gut metagenome
Description: bacterial LSU rRNA
Rfam family: Bacterial large subunit ribosomal RNA
Source: RNAcentral